Molecule: ribosomal RNA, 497 nt
Filed under: uncultured bacterium
Lineage: Bacteria
Description: partial 16S ribosomal RNA
Rfam family: Bacterial small subunit ribosomal RNA
Source: RNAcentral
GAUGAACGCUGGCGGCGUGCCUAACACAUGCAAGUCGAGCGAGAUGUAUAUGGACGAAACUUCGGUCUAGGAAAUAUAUUGACAGCGGCGGACGGGCGAGUAACGCGUAGGCAACCUGCCCUUAACACAGGGAUAGCCUCGGGAAACGGGGAUUAAAACCUGAUAAUGCCAAAUAGUCACAUGGCUGUUUGGCCACAGAUUUAUCGGUUGAGGAAGGGCCUGCGUCUGAUUCGUUUGUUGGUGGGGUGACGGGCUACCAAGACUACGAACAGUGGCCAACCUGCGAGGGUGAUCGGACACAUUGGAAGUUAGACACGGUCCAAACGCCUACGGGGGGCAGCAGUGGGGAAUAUUGGACAAUGGGCGAAAGCCUGAUGCAACAACGCCGCGUGAGCGAUGAAGGCCUUUGGGUCGUAAAGCUCUGUCCUUGGGGAAGAAAAAAAUGACGGUACCCAAGGAGGAAGCCCCGGCUAACUACGUGCCAGCCGCCGCAGUAA